CGCAGCCGCGGUAAUUCCAGCUCCAAUAGCGUAUAUUAAAGUUGUUGCAGUUAAAAAGCUCGUAGUUGAAUUUCGGGGUUAGUAGGUUGGUCAUGCCUCUGGUAUGUACUGGUCUCACUGAUUCCUCCUUCCUGAUGAACCUUAAUGCCAUUAAUUUGGUGUUUUGGGGAAUUUGGACUGUUACUUUGAAAAAUUAGAGUGUUUAAAGCAAGCUAACGCUUGAAUACAUUAGCAUGGAAUAAUGAAAUAGGACGUUCGAUCCUAUUUUGUUGGUUUCUAGGAUUGACGUAAUGAUUAAUAGGGAUAGUUGGGGGCAUUAGUAUUCAAUUGUCAGAGGUGAAAUUCUUGGAUUUAUUGAAGACUAACUACUGCGAAAGCAUUUGCCAAGGAUGUUUUCAUUAAUCAAGAACGAAAGUUAGGGGAUCGAAGACGAUCAGAUACCGUCGUAGUCUUAACCAUAAACUAUGCCGACUAGGGAUCGGAUGAUGUUAAUUUUUUAAUGACUCAUUCGGCGCCUUAC
Molecule: unclassified non-coding RNA, 520 nt
Filed under: uncultured Glomus
Lineage: Eukaryota; Fungi; Glomeromycota; Glomeromycetes; Glomerales; Glomeraceae
Description: SSU rRNA
Rfam family: Eukaryotic small subunit ribosomal RNA
Source: RNAcentral